This 984-nucleotide long non-coding RNA is filed under the name Felis catus (domestic cat). RNAcentral describes it as "lncRNA (ENSFCAG00000052805.1)". The record is from RNAcentral. Lineage: Eukaryota; Metazoa; Chordata; Mammalia; Carnivora; Felidae.
UAGAAUAAGGACAGUCCUAGUUUUUAUUUUUAUAUCUCCCAGCUCUAUAAUAUUCUUUUUAUUUACAUUCAUUCUCUUCUGCCUUCUUUUUUUUACUUUUUAUUUUACAGAGAAAGAGAAUGCACACAAGAUGGGAAGAGGGGCAGAGGGAGAGAGAAUCUUAAGCAGGCUCCAUGCUCACCACAGACCCUGAACAGGGCUCGAUCCCACCACACUAGGAUCAUGACCUGAGCUGAUAUCAACACUUGGAUGUGCAACUGACUGAGCCACCCAGAUGCCCCUUUCUUCUACUGUUUUUUCUAACUCUAUUUUCAAAUAAGAGAAUGAUAUUUGUUUCCUAAUGAGCAAAUAGUUGAUAGAUAAAAAGAAAAUAAAUGUUAGAAGAAUAGAUGUUAAACUCAAUCAAUUUCUCAGUAACUACAUUCAUUUCUCUAAACAUCUGCGGAGGACUGUUACUUUGAAAUGAAAUCACCAUUGAGACUGAAAAUUGUAAUUAACAGAUGCCUGGAAACUGCAGUGCUCUUCCAGAAAGAUCUCUCCAUAUUUGGCUAAACAGAAGUGAAGACUUGUGGAUCCUAAAAAUAUAUCCAAUAUUUAUGUGUGUACUUUCACCCCAAGUAUCCCCUUCCAUUCUCAGCCCAACGUCUCCUGUUUUCAAUUUUACUGAAAAGGUCCUCCUCACUGUGGCAUUGCAAGAUAUGCUUCUGUUGUCUUCAAAUCCUUAAAUUCACAUAUGUUGAGAAUUCAGGCAGACCUUCUAAACAGCAUUUGGGUUCAAUAUUAAGCAUUACUUUCUAACUACAAUGUGCCUUCUCCUCAAAGUUCCCUAAAACCUUGAAAAAUCAGUUUGAGAACUUUUGAGUCUCUUAACCUCAUUUUUCUAUGAUUCCCCAGUAAAGAAAAUUGCACUAAGUUGCUGAUGUGCCACUUUAAAUACUUAUAUAAAUCUCAGUCACUAAUUUAAGGACAAUAGUUUAAAGAAGA